This 460-nucleotide ribosomal RNA is filed under the name uncultured bacterium. RNAcentral's name for it is "partial 16S ribosomal RNA". It matches the Rfam family "Bacterial small subunit ribosomal RNA", at positions 28 to 508 of the family's 1533-position model. The record is from RNAcentral.
GAUGAACGCUGGCGGCGCGCCUAACACAUGCAAGUCGAACGGCACCCCUCCUCGGAGGGAAGCGAGUGGCGAACGGCUGAGUAACACGUGGAGAACCUGCCCCCUCCCCCGGGAUAGCCGCCCGAAAGGACGGGUAAUACCGGAUACCCCGGGGUGCCGCAUGGCACCCCGGCUAAAGCCCCGACGGGAGGGGAUGGCUCCGCGGCCCAUCAGGUAGACGGCGGGGUGACGGCCCACCGUGCCGACAACGGGUAGCCGGGUUGAGAGACCGACCGGCCAGAUUGGGACUGAGACACGGCCCAGACUCCUACGGGAGGCAGCAGUGGGGAAUCUUGCGCAAUGGGGGGAACCCUGACGCAGCGACGCCGCGUGCGGGACGGAGGCCUUCGGGUCGUAAACCGCUUUCAGCAGGGAAGAGUCAAGACUGUACCUGCAGAAGAAGCCCCGGCUAACUACGUGC